This 505-nucleotide ribosomal RNA is filed under the name uncultured bacterium. Its description in RNAcentral is "bacterial SSU rRNA". It matches the Rfam family "Bacterial small subunit ribosomal RNA", at positions 33 to 518 of the family's 1533-position model. The record is from RNAcentral.
AACGACGCUGGCGGCGCGUCUUAAGCAUGCAAGUCGAACGGCAAGGCAGGUGCUUGCACCUGCCCUAGAGUGGCGGACUGGUGAGUAACACGUGGGUGACAUGCCUUUUAGUUGGGGAUAGCUACUAGAAAUAGUAGAUAAUACCGAAUGUGAUCAAUAUUUAUAGAUGAUGUUGAGGAAAGGAGCUAAGGCUUCGCUAAAAGAUUGGCCCGCGGCCCAUUAGCUAGUUGGUAGGGUAAAGGCUUACCAAGGCGAUGAUGGGUAUCCGGCCUGAGAGGGUGAUCGGACACAUUGGGACUGAGAUACGGCCCAGACUCCUACGGGAGGCAGCAGCUAAGAAUAUUCCACAAUGGACGAAAGUCUGAUGGAGCGACGCCGCGUGGAUGAUGAAGGCCCGAAAGGUUGUAAAAUCCUUUUACACUGGAGGAAUAAGCAGAGUAGGGAAUGACUCUGUGAUGACUGUACAGUUUGAAUAAGCAACGGCUAAUUACGUGCCAGCCGCUGC